CCUACGGGUGGCUGCAGUGGGGAAUAUUGGGCAAUGGAGGCAACUCUGACCCAGCAACGCCGCGUGAGCGAUGAAGGUCUUCGGGUUUUAAGUCUCUAUAAGCAGGGCGGAAAAACUGGCCUUACGGUCAGCAGACAGUGCCUGACUAAGAAGCACCGGCUAACUUCGUGCGAGCAGCGGCGGUAAGACGGGGGGGGCAAGCGUUUUCCGGAUUUACUGGGUGGAAAGGGAGCGUGGACGGUUGGUCAAGUCUGGAGUGAAAUGCCGAAGCUUAACUGCGGAAUGGCAUUGGAUACUGGCGAACUAGAGUGCGGGAGGGGUAAGGGGAAUUCCUGGUGUAGCGGUGAAAUGCGUAGAUAUUAGGAGGAACACCGGUGGCGAAGGCGGCUUACUGGACCGUAACUGACGUUGAGGAUCGAAAGCGUGGGGAGCAAACAGGAUUAGAUACCCCGGUAGUC
This 458-nucleotide ribosomal RNA is filed under the name uncultured bacterium. RNAcentral describes it as "partial 16S ribosomal RNA". It matches the Rfam family "Bacterial small subunit ribosomal RNA", at positions 338 to 795 of the family's 1533-position model. The record is from RNAcentral.